GUAAACACAAGCAGUCACCACAAACCACUGCUCGCCAGAGAAGUACAAGUGAAAAACUAGAAACUCAAAGGACUUGGCGGUGCCCCAUAUCACCCUAGAGGAGCCUGUCGCAUAAUCGAUACCCCACGCUUAACCUAACCUGCCUUCGCCAAUCAGCCUAUAUACCGCCGUCGCCAGCCUGCCUAAUGAUAGACCCAAAGCAGGCACAAUUAGCCCCCUAAACACGUCAGGUCAAGGUGUAGCUAAUAAGCAGGUGCUAGAUGGGCUACAUUUUCUACGCACAAGAAAACUACUGCAGACAACAUGAAAUAUAAGCCGAAAGACGGAUUUAGCAGUAAGCCGGACAAGAAAGCCCAGCUGAAAGCCGCCCUGGG
This 374-nucleotide ribosomal RNA is filed under the name Ptyodactylus cf. hasselquistii. RNAcentral's name for it is "partial 12S ribosomal RNA". It matches the Rfam family "Bacterial small subunit ribosomal RNA", at positions 801 to 1378 of the family's 1533-position model. Lineage: Eukaryota; Metazoa; Chordata; Lepidosauria; Squamata; Phyllodactylidae. The record is from RNAcentral.